RNAcentral lists this ribosomal RNA (481 nucleotides) under uncultured bacterium. RNAcentral's name for it is "bacterial SSU rRNA". It matches the Rfam family "Bacterial small subunit ribosomal RNA", at positions 28 to 526 of the family's 1533-position model. The record is from RNAcentral.
GACGAACGCUGGCGGCGUGCUUAACACAUGCAAGUCGAGCGGAAAGGCCCUUCGGGGUACUCGAGCGGCGAACGGGUGAGUAACACGUGAGUAAUCUGCCCUUCACUUUGGGAUAGCCCCGGGAAACCGGGAUUAAUACCGGAUAUGACUCAUCCCCGCAUGGGGUGUGGGUGGAAAGUUUUUCGGUGGGGGAUGUGCUCGCGGCCUAUCAGCUUGAUGGUGGGGUAAUGGCCUACCAUGGCUUCGACGGGUAGCCGGCCUGAGAGGGUGACCGGCCACACUGGGACUGAGACACGGCCCAGACUCCUACGGGAGGCAGCAGUGGGGAAUAUUGGACAAUGGGCGGAAGCCUGAUCCAGCAACGCCGCGUGAGGGAUGACGGCCUUCGGGUUGUAAACCUCUUUCAGUACCGACGAAGCGAAAGUGACGGUAGGUACAGAAGAAGCACCGGCCAACUACGUGCCAGCAGCCGCCGUAAUAC